RNAcentral lists this ribosomal RNA (468 nucleotides) under uncultured bacterium. Its description in RNAcentral is "partial 16S ribosomal RNA". It matches the Rfam family "Bacterial small subunit ribosomal RNA", at positions 28 to 507 of the family's 1533-position model. The record is from RNAcentral.
GACGAACGCUGGUGGCGUGCUUAACACAUGCAAGUCGAACGGAAAGGCCCUGCUUUUGUGGGGUGCUCGAGCGGCGAACGGGUGAGUAACACGUGAGUAACCUGCCCUUGACUUUGGGAUAACUUCAGGAAACUGGGGCUAAUACCGGAUAGGAGCUCCUGCUGCAUGGUGGGGGUUGGAAAGUUUCGGCGGUUGGGGAUGGACUCGCGGCUUAUCAGCUUGUUGGUGGGGUAGUGGCUUACCAAGGCUUUGACGGGUAGCCGGCCUGAGAGGGUGACCGGCCACAUUGGGACUGAGAUACGGCCCAGACUCCUACGGGAGGCAGCAGUGGGGAAUAUUGCACAAUGGGCGGAAGCCUGAUGCAGCAACGCCGCGUGCGGGAUGACGGCCUUCGGGUUGUAAACCGCUUUCGCCUGUGACGAAGCGUGAGUGACGGUAAUGGGUAAAGAAGCACCGGCUAACUACGUG